This 1552-nucleotide long non-coding RNA is filed under the name Numida meleagris (helmeted guineafowl). RNAcentral's name for it is "lncRNA (ENSNMEG00000002105.1)". Lineage: Eukaryota; Metazoa; Chordata; Aves; Galliformes; Numididae. The record is from RNAcentral.
NNNNNNNNNNNNNNNNNNNNNNNNNNNNNNNNNNNNNNNNNNGGACAGACGGACAAAGGGAUGGACAGAAGGACGGACGGAUGGGCCAAUGGAUGGACAAAAAGAGAAGGAGGGAAGGAUGGAUGGACAGACGGACAGACGGAGGGAUGGAUGGAUCAACAGAUGGACAAAGAGAAGGACAGACGGACGGACGGACGGAGCGGUGGGUCAAUGGGUGGGCGAAGAGAUGGACGGUAGGACGGACGGAUGGGAGAGAGGAUGGACGGACGGACAAAGGGAUGGACAGAAGGACAGACGGACGGAUGGGAGGGAGGAUGGAUGGAUGGACGGACAAAGGGAUGGACAGAAGGACGGACGGAUGGGCCAAUGGAUGGACAAAAAGAGACGGAGGGAAGGAUGGAUGGACAGACGGACAGACAGAUGGAGGGAUGGAUGGAUUGACAGAGGGACAAAGAGAAGGACAGACGGACGGAUGGACGGACAAAGAGAUGGACAGAUGAACGGAUGGACAGAUGGAUGGAUGGAUGGAUCAACAGAUGGACAAAGAGAAGGACAGACGGACGGACGAAGGAACGGACGGAUGGGAUUCGGCGGACGGAUCGGCGAAGGGAUGGACGGAAAGACGGACAGACAAGCAGACAGACAGACAGACGGAUGGAUGGAGGGAUGGAUCGACAGACGGACAAAGAGAAGGACAGACGGACGGACGGAUGGAUUGAUAGACAAAGAGACGGACAGAUGGACGGAUGGACAGACAGAUGGAUGGAUCGACAGAUGGACGGAUGGAUCGACGGACAGAGAGAAGGACAGACAGACGGAUGGACGGACGGAUCGAUGGACAAAGAGACAGACAGGCGGACGGACGGAGGGAUGGACAGAUGAGGGACAGAUCGACAGACGGGCAAAGAGAAGGACAGACAGACGGAUGGACGGAUGGAUUGACGGACAAAGAGACGGACAGAUGGACGGAUGGACAGACAGAUGGAUGGAUCGACAGAUGGACGGAGGGAUGGAUCGACAGACGGACAGAGAGAAGGACAGACAGACGGACGGACGGAUGGAUGGACAAAGAGACGGACAGACGGACGGACGGCUGGAUGGAUCAACAGACGGGCAAAGAGAAGGACAGACGGAUGGAUGGGCGGAUGGAUUGAUGGACAAAGAGACGGACAGAUGGAUGGAUGGACAGACAGAAGGAUGGAUCGACAGAUGGACGGAUGGACAGAGGGAUGGAUCGACGGAUGGACAGAGAGAAGGACAGACAGACGGACGGAUGGAUCGAUGGACAAAGAGACGGACAGGCGGACGGACGGAGGGAUGGACAGAUGAGGGAUGGAUCGACAGACGGGCAAAGAGAAGGACAGACGGACGGAUGGGCGGAUGGAUGGACAAAAGAGAAGGACGGACGGACGGACGGGAUGGGAUUUGGCGGACCGAUUGGCGAAGGGAUGGACGGACAGACGGACAGACAGGCAGACGGACGGACGGAUGAAUGGAGGGAUGGAUGGAUCAAUGGAUAGAUCAAUGGACAAAGAGAAGGACAGACAGACGG